Dama dama (fallow deer) is the source of this 566-nucleotide long non-coding RNA. RefSeq lists it as uncharacterized. The transcript has 3 exons. The record is from RefSeq and is a predicted model, not a curated record. NCBI's taxonomy places the organism in Eukaryota, Metazoa, Chordata, Mammalia, Artiodactyla, Cervidae.
UAAAGAAUCUGCCUGCAAUGCAGGCGGUGGGUUCAAUCCCUCGGUCAGAGAAGAUCCCCUGGAGGAGGAAAUGGUAACCCACUCCAGUAUUCUUGCCUGGAAAAUCCCUUGGACAGAGAAGCCUGGCAGGCUAUAGUUCAUGGGGCUGCCAAGAGUCAGACGCAACUGAGCAUGCAGGCAGGCACAUAGACAUAGGUGUGGAAACAGCUCUGGAGAAAUAACUGGCCUGAAAUACUUCAGUGAAAAUUUUUGGAUCCAGUCUCAGCAUUUCCUAUUGAGGAAACUGAGGCCCAAGGAAAAUGGAUACAGCUUCCAGAUGAAUAGUAAUAAUUUUGCAUAUAAAUAGUUAUACUUAAAAAAUGAUUCUGGGAAAAUAAGGACAAUCCAGAAACAAAUGAAUUUGCUCCAAAUAUGGAAAUUUCGGGCUCAAAUAAGAGAUAUUUGAUUCUUGCAGUGCUUAAAGUUUGAGCAUUAGUAGAGUCUGUUUGGACCAAGUUACAAGCCAAGUGUGUGAACUUGGAAUAGUUACUCAACAUCUCUGAACCUCAACUUCCUCAUCUGUUAAA